AUGAUUAAAAACACCCAGAAAAAUAGUCUGGUCAUGGGUUUAGCGUCUGAUCUCAUCCCUGAUGGGGUAGCUGUCUUGCAGUACGCAGACGACACCAUCAUUUGCCUAGAGGAUGAUGUUGAUAAAGCAGUUAACCUGAAGUUGCUGCUUUAUUUGUUCGAAAUGAUGUCUGGGCUAAAAGUUAACUUCCAGAAAAGUGAGAUCCUUNNNNNNNNNNNNNNNNNNNNNNNNNNNNNNNNNUACGCGGAGCUGUUUAAUUGUGAGAUAGACAGUUUCCUCAUUAAAUAUGUAGGCAUGCCCGUGAGCUAUACAAACCUGAAAAACUCUGAUUGGGAGUUCAUUGUGAGCAAGUACCUAAAGAGGUUUGAGGCCUGGAUGGGUAAUGCGGCCUCGAUGGGGGGGAGACAUACUCUGUUAGAUUCUGUGGUCAAAUAGAUUUUUCUGUAUCAUAUGUCGAUGUGGCUUAUGAACAAAACCUUUAUAGAAAGAUUGGAUAAGCACAGGAGGAGAUUCUUCUGGCAAGGUUGUAAUAAGAAAAAGAGAUACCACCUUGUGAAAUGGAGCAGAAUAUGUAGAUCCAAGGAAAAAGGGGGUUUGGGAAUCAAAGACCUCCAGAAACAAAACAUAAGCUUGCUGGUCAAAUGGUGGUGGAAGCUUGAAAGACAAAAAGGGCUUUGGCAGGAUAUUGUCCGUGCCAGAUACCUUCGCAACAAAACUGUUGCGGAUGUCACCGCCAGGUUUUCUGACUCACCUUGCUGGAAAGCACUGCUUAAAGUCAAAGAUAUAUAUAUGAUGGGAGGGAAGAUUGAUACUAAAGUGGGGGACAUUACUAGGUUGUGGAAAGACUCGAUUAAUGGGCUACCUGCUCUCCAGGAGCAAUACACUUGACUGUUUGAUAUUUGUAACUUCCCUGGCUGCACCUUGAACAAAAUGAACGGUGACGACACCAGUUUGUUCUUUAGACGCAGGCUUACCCCUGAUCUGCUUAAGAAGUGGGAAGAACUGCGAUCUAUAAUAGAAAAUACCCCCCUUGCAAAGGAAGGUGAUGGUGACAAGAUCUUCUGGGGCCUUAACCAGAAUGGCAAGUUUACUACUAAAUUUGUGUACAAACUGCUGGAAAAACCCCUUGUUGGGUGUAACUAUAAGUGGGUGUGGAAAGCCAAAAUCCCCCUUAAGAUUAAAAUCUUCUUAUGGCAGCUAUCCCAAGAUGCGGUGCUCACAAGACAAGUGAUGAGGAAAAGGGAUUGGACAAGGAAUCCUUGUUGUUCCUUAUGCAGGGAGGUUGAAGCCUCUAAACAUCUUUUCUUUACCUGUCUGGUUGCUAGGGUGGUCUGGAGGUCUAUUGGGGUAGUGUUGGGCACUGACAAAUGCCCCAACAACUAUUGGAAUAUUUUGUUUGGUGCAAUAAAUUUCUCCCUGGUAAAUAAGUUUUUUACAUUGUGGGUUUAG
Molecule: ribosomal RNA, 1449 nt
Filed under: Triticum aestivum (bread wheat)
Lineage: Eukaryota; Viridiplantae; Streptophyta; Magnoliopsida; Poales; Poaceae
Description: partial small subunit ribosomal RNA
Source: RNAcentral